AGCGUUAUCAAAACAAACGCAUUUACAACAAUCUCCCCACCAGUGUAGCGCCCCUGGGCGUUACACUCUUCUAACGUUUGUUUGUUUAUCUUAUGCAUCCUAAUCUGUCACGAAACCACGCGGUUUCCCUAUCUCGCGCGCGCCUCAUUCGUUCGUUUCGCGUUUCCCGACAUCCAGAACCGCUAUCUUAGCUGCCGGUCUUUCUAGUAUCCCGCAUGUCGUUUGCACCGUUGCCCUUCUAACCUGACCGUCUUUAGCACGGGUCACUUCUAGAACGCGUCCCAUUGGCCAGGUAUUCCUCGGUAAAUUCCCGUCCGCGAUUACCACUACGUCUCCCACCUGGAUCGGCGGCACCGGGUGGAACCAUUUCGUCCUGCGGGGCACCCCAUAACGACCGUAUUGAAGUCGGCGAAUCAUCGAAAAAAGCGGCUGCUUUACUCCCAUCGGCACUACCGAGCAAUAAGUGGUUCGGCGUUAUCGGACAGUCCAGCUCAUCGUCGAUCGGCGUCUUUGAGCUCUCUCGCCGCCCCGACGAAGUUGGUACCCCGAUCGCUUAUUAUCUCCCUCGGCGAGCCUCUUCUUGCGAUGAACCGGCGGAUAGCUAAAAUACAGGAAGCAGUUGUUAGUGCAUGAGCUACUUCGAGGUGAACCGCCCUUGUAGUAAGACAGGUGAACAGCGCUCCCCAGCGCUUCUCCGAGUGACGUCCCACGACCACGAGUAUCGGUCCAAAAUAAUCUAGACCGGUAUACGUGAAGGCCCGUUGAUACACUGCUACCCUCUGCCGAGGAAUGUCCCCCAUCAGGGGUGGAUUUGGCACGGCGUUCCGUAUUUUACACUGCUGACAGUCUCGUCGUACCCGGUUAAACUCCACUAGCAGUUUCGGUAUAUAGUACCGCAUCCGGAGUUGAGCCACCACUGUUCUGUGGCUCUGAUGACAAAAGCGCUCGUGGAAGUCUCUGAUGAUCAGAUCUGUGACGGGGUGUCUUCUUGGCAAAAGCUUGUAGAGCACACUGUUCCGGUUAAUCGCCUGUUUCCAAGGAUGUUUCUUCCGCGCAUCGCUGCGCAGGCAUUUAAUAUCGGCAGCAAACCCUUCCGACUGCACCAACGUGUAGAGUGUCCGUUCCGCAGCUAGCAGUUCAUCCUGUGUCAGUGGCCCUGUUACCUUCUUCACUUGCCUAAUCCGUCGCCGAGUGUUCCCGAUAUACCGAAGAACAUAACCGACCGCUCUCAAUAGUUUCUUCCAGCGUGAGAAACGAGUGAAGUCGACUACAACAUCAACCACGAUUCCCACAGGAACCCUGGCCCUCGGAACCAUCUGCUGGAUGAGGUUAAGUCCGGAACUCCCUGCCACUUCGUCCCGUCAUCCGCUACGUUGACCUUAGUGGAAAGCCACCGCCACUCGUUAAUCUCUGUCGUCUCGACCAGCUCACUCACCCGAAAGGCGACAAACGUGCUGUAUCGCCUAUGGUCCGAUCGUAUCCAGCUCACAACGUUCCGCGAGUCCGUCCAGAACACCCUCCUGGUAACCUUCAACCGAUGCGUCUUGAUGAUG
Anopheles moucheti is the source of this 1553-nucleotide long non-coding RNA. RefSeq lists it as uncharacterized. The record is from RefSeq and is a predicted model, not a curated record. NCBI's taxonomy places the organism in Eukaryota, Metazoa, Arthropoda, Insecta, Diptera, Culicidae. The transcript has 5 exons.